This 248-nucleotide ribosomal RNA is filed under the name uncultured bacterium. RNAcentral's name for it is "partial 16S ribosomal RNA". It matches the Rfam family "Bacterial small subunit ribosomal RNA", at positions 524 to 771 of the family's 1533-position model. The record is from RNAcentral.
UACGGGGGGGGUAAGCGUUGUUCGGAAUUACUGGGCGUAAAGGGCUCGUAGGCGGCCACUAAGUCAGACGUGAAAUCCCUCAGCUUAACUGGGGAACUGCGUCUGAUACUGGAUGGCUUGGAUUGGGAGAGGAAUGCGGAAUUCCAGGUGUAGCGGUGAAAUGCGUAGAUAUCUGGAGGAACACCGGUGGCGAAGGCGGCAUUCUGGACCGACAUUGACGCUGAGGAGCGAAAAGCCAGGGGGAGCAA